UACGGGGGGAGCAAGCGUUGUUCGGAUUUACUGGGCGUAAAGGGCGCGUAGGCGGUCAGCACAAGUCAGUUGUGAAAUCUCCGGGCUUAACUCGGAAAGGUCAACUGAUACUGUGCGACUAGAGUGCAGAAGGGGCAACUGGAAUUCUCGGUGUAGCGGUGAAAUGCGCAGAUAUCAGGAGGAACACCGGUGGCGAAGGCGGAUCUCUGGGCCUGUUCUGACGCUGAGGCGCGAAAGCUAGGGGAGCGAACAGG
Molecule: ribosomal RNA, 254 nt
Filed under: uncultured bacterium
Lineage: Bacteria
Description: partial 16S ribosomal RNA
Rfam family: Bacterial small subunit ribosomal RNA
Source: RNAcentral